UAGUCCACGCCGUAAACGAUGAUUACUCGAUAUAUAUGCCUAGCAUAUGUGUCCAAGCGAAAGCGUUAAGUAAUCCACCUGGGGAGUACGCGCGCAAGCGUGAAACUCAAAGGAAUUGACGGGGGUCCGCACAAGCGGUGGAGCACGUGGUUUAAUUCGAUAAUACGCGAGGAACCUUACCUGGGCUCGAAUGCCUCUGCUACCUCGAGAAAUCGAGAAUUCCUUCGGGACAGAGUGCAAGGUGCUGCAUGGCCGUCGUCAGCUCGUGCCGUGAGGUGUUGGGUUAAGUCCCAUAACGAGCGCAACCCUCAUUUUUAGUUGCCUUAUGGAACUCUAAAAAGACUGCCGGUUAUAAACCGGAGGAAGGCGGGGACGACGCCAAGUCAGCAUGCCCCUUACACCCUGGGCUACACACGUGCUACAAUGGACGAGACAAUGAGAUGCAAAUCUGCGAAGACUAGCUAAUCUAUAAACUCGUUCUAAGUUCGGAUUGCAGG
This 497-nucleotide ribosomal RNA is filed under the name uncultured bacterium. Its description in RNAcentral is "bacterial SSU rRNA". It matches the Rfam family "Bacterial small subunit ribosomal RNA", at positions 791 to 1304 of the family's 1533-position model. The record is from RNAcentral.